This is an RNA transcript of Peromyscus californicus insignis, 5211 nucleotides long. It is a transcript of the gene named adenosylhomocysteinase like 2, with no coding region annotated. NCBI's taxonomy places the organism in Eukaryota, Metazoa, Chordata, Mammalia, Rodentia, Cricetidae. The transcript is spliced from 17 exons. The record is from RefSeq and is a predicted model, not a curated record.
GGAGGCGGGAGGCGGGGCCGAGUGGGAGCCGGAGCUGGAGUCGGAGCCGGCGGUUGCAGCGGAGGCGGUGAUGUCGGUGCAGGUUGUGUCAGCAGCGGCGACGGCCAAGGUGCCUGAGGUGGAGCUGAGGGCUCUGAGCCCCUCCGAGGCGGAGCCCCAGUUAGGACUGAGCACGGCGGCUGUGGGCGCCAUGGUACCCCCGGCGGGCGGCGGGGACCCAGAGGCUCCAGCUCCAGCUCCCGUAGCGGAGCGGCCCCCGGCCCCUGGCCCGGGCUCGGGGCCCACCGCGGCUCUCAGCCCUGCGGCCGGGAAGGUGCCUCAAGCGUCGGCCAUGAAGCGGAGUGACCCUCAUCACCAGCACCAGCGGCAUCGCGACGGCGGCGAGGCCCUGGUCAGCCCCGACGGCACGGUCACCGAGGCGCCGCGCACCGUCAAGAAGCAGAUCCAGUUUGCUGACCAGAAGCAGGAAUUCAACAAGCGUCCUACCAAAAUUGGGCGUCGAUCUCUGUCUCGUUCCAUCUCUCAGUCGUCUACUGACAGCUACAGCUCAGCUGCUUCAUAUACAGAUAGCUCUGAUGAUGAGACAUCCCCUCGGGACAAGCAGCAAAAGAACUCUAAGGGAAGUAGUGACUUCUGUGUCAAGAACAUCAAACAGGCGGAGUUUGGACGCAGAGAAAUUGAAAUUGCUGAACAAGAGAUGCCUGCCCUGAUGGCCUUACGGAAGAGAGCCCAAGGAGAAAAGCCUUUGGCUGGAGCCAAAAUUGUGGGUUGUACGCACAUCACUGCUCAGACCGCUGUGCUGAUGGAAACUCUGGGUGCUCUGGGAGCACAAUGCCGGUGGGCCGCCUGCAACAUCUACUCCACGCUCAAUGAAGUGGCCGCUGCUCUAGCAGAAAGUGGAUUUCCUGUCUUUGCCUGGAAAGGAGAGUCAGAAGACGACUUUUGGUGGUGCAUCGACAGAUGUGUGAAUGUGGAGGGCUGGCAGCCAAACAUGAUACUGGAUGAUGGAGGAGAUCUUACUCACUGGAUUUAUAAAAAGUAUCCCAACAUGUUUAAGAAAAUCAAAGGCAUAGUCGAGGAGAGUGUUACUGGAGUCCAUAGGCUGUACCAACUGUCCAAAGCUGGGAAGCUGUGUGUUCCAGCCAUGAACGUCAAUGACUCAGUCACUAAACAGAAAUUUGAUAACCUCUACUGUUGCCGUGAAUCUAUUCUUGAUGGACUUAAAAGGACAACAGAUAUGAUGUUUGGUGGGAAGCAAGUGGUAGUCUGUGGCUAUGGAGAGGUGGGAAAGGGGUGCUGUGCUGCUCUGAAAGCCAUGGGUUCCAUUGUGUAUGUAACUGAGAUCGACCCCAUCUGUGCCCUGCAAGCCUGUAUGGAUGGAUUCCGACUAGUGAAACUGAAUGAAGUCAUCCGACAAGUGGACAUUGUUAUCACCUGUACAGGUAACAAGAAUGUGGUAACCAGAGAGCACUUGGACCGUAUGAAGAACAGCUGCAUUGUUUGUAACAUGGGACAUUCCAACACUGAGAUUGAUGUGGCCAGCCUGCGGACACCAGAACUGACCUGGGAGAGAGUAAGAUCCCAAGUUGACCACGUGAUAUGGCCUGAUGGCAAGAGGAUAGUGCUGCUGGCAGAGGGCCGGCUGCUGAACCUAAGCUGCUCCACAGUGCCUACAUUUGUGCUUUCCAUCACUGCUACCACUCAGGCUCUCGCCUUGAUAGAACUUUACAAUGCUCCUGAGGGUCGCUAUAAGCAAGAUGUGUACCUGUUGCCCAAGAAAAUGGAUGAGUACGUGGCAAGCCUCCACCUGCCCACCUUUGAUGCCCACCUGACAGAACUGACAGAUGAGCAGGCCAAGUAUCUGGGACUCAACAAGAAUGGGCCCUUCAAACCUAAUUACUACAGGUGCCUCGGGCUCCCCAGGAAUCAGAAGGCUGGGUAGUGAAGAGCUUCCUGCGGUGCAGCUGGUCCUUGCCUCUCUACCACAUACCUUUGUAUUAAGUUCCUGUAAUGCAAGCCAGAAGACGUUUAAGGAAGAGAACCAAGCCUUUAUCCAAGGAAGACCCCAGCAAGCUGCUUCUCCAGUCAGAGCUGCCCGCCGUGCUCAUCCUAUGUGUUAGGUUAUUUAUUUAUUAAAAUCUAGAAUCCUGUGCCUGUAGCCUUGGCCCAGAGUGUGGUUACUACUCCUGGGGCCUGAGAGCCGCAGAGGACAGGCUGAGGAAGGAAAGAAAUGGGCGACCAUUCCUAGUGAUCAUUCGCAUCAUUGCCCAUUGAUGGACUCCUCAGUGAUGGCCAUUUUUCUUCCCAGGCUCAGGAGUUAGUUCAGGGAUGCCAGACUCCUUGUUACUUAGGGUUUUCUGGAAUAAAUUUUCAGCAGCUGCCUUUCUCCAAGCUUUGGUCCUUUCCCAGAUGAGGCCUUUUGGAAGCCACUGAAUUACCAGGGCCUGAAUUCUCAGUCUUGAUAGUUACUAUCACUGCCUUCUUUAUAAAAAGGCUAGUGAGGUAGGAGUGUUAAGGUCUUGUAAGCUACACCAAGAACUCAGCUGUGCCUGUGUCUGUGCCUACUGGGAUCUCUUUUCUUACCCAGAACUCCUUUCUGUUCCUUGAAUAUUAUAUCCAUUUUAAUGCUUCCUGGUUCUAAAAGGGUGUGCCUCCAUGAUCUUAAUACCUCUGCUGCUGGCCAGGCAUUUGUUUUGCUUUCUAACCCCACCAAACUCUGCUCAGGAAGUAGGGGACCAGCUCCACAGGGACCCAUAGUUUUGCUUCCUUGUCACUUAACUGGACCGUUUCCCAGGAAGCCCCCUCUAAACUGGCACUGUCUCAGAAAAGGAGGGCUUUAUGUGGAUAGUGCUUCCUGAAACUUCUGUUACUGCCUGAAACGACUUCUGGAACUGAGUUGGCAAAGGUGUUUGCUAGAGAUUUGAAAGCUUGAGCCUUUGGAAUGGGAUCCAGCUUGGCAUCCUAAAGAAGCCAGUCUGUUUGUUUUCCAGGAGAGACUUCACAGCCUGACUGCAGAAGAUGGGUGACUCUGUCAUCUGUAUCCAGAGGAUGGAAACUAGUUUGAGGGCUGGGGGAUAGCUCAGUGGUGAAGCACAUGGCUGGUGUGCACAGGCCCUAGGCUCAGUCACUGGGUACUAGGGAAGCGGGUGGGGAACUGCUUUGAACCUCAUCAGACAGUCAUCCCUUUGGCUGCUGCCAUUGGUGAGAUCUGUAAUUUGAUAUCUCAUCUCUCUUUGCUGCUGCUGUAUCUUUAUGAUCUGGCCCCUUCUGUUUAAGGAUUCUGUUUCAGAGAGUUUCUUAAGUAGCUCCAGCGUUAGCAUAGCUGGUAAAUGGUGUGAAAUUUCUCAGUCCACUCAAGCUUUAGAUUUCCUUUGGAGACGGACUGACUGGUUUCAGGGUUUCCGUUGGGAUCAGUUGGUUUCAAAAAUUAAAACCUGGAGUGACCCUAGGAAUCUUGAGUUAAAUGAGUUCCUCUCCUGGCCCAUCCUAUUUAAAAGUCUCAUGCUUGUUUCCCAUGUAUUUCUUAUGUUGUUCUGCUUCAGAGUCUCAAGACCAAGGUCAUUCAGACAGAAGACACACAGAAUCACUAAAACCUUUAUCUAGAUCUUCUCCCCUGCCCUACCAUCUCCAUCAUCCCUUGGUCUUUGUGUGUGCCCUGGAAGCUAGUCUGGAAGUGUCCUUAUUUUUGAAGAUAGGGAAACAGAACUGGUGUAGGUGGCUGUUUGCCUUAUUAGGUGGUAUACAGGCUCAGCCCAGAAGAUGGAUUCUUUACAGGGUAUCAUCUGUCUCUACUCUUUUAUAAGGAAGACCGUAGAGGCUGCAGAUGCCACAAAGAUACUCAAUUCUGUUUGCCUCAUUCUGAUUUUUGUGUUAAUAGCUAAUUGUAUCACUCUCCCACCUUUAUUUUGUUUUUGUUGUUGGGUUUUGUUGUUGUUCUGAAAUAGUCUCACUCUAUAACCUUGACUGGCCUCAAACUCAUGGCAGUCCUCCUGCCUCCGCCUCUUGAGGCAUAUGCUACCAUGCCUGGCUGGCUCUUCAUUGGCUCUCUUUAGCAAAAGAUUCAGCUAUCUGCCUCAUCUUAUGUCCCGGGCAGAUUCUGUUAGGCAGGUAUCUGGGCCCCAAAUCAUAACCUGCUGAUUUCCAGCAAAGCCUUGCUCUCUACAGAGCUUCCUAUAGCUGGUACUUACGGAGUACAGUGUGUCAAAACCAGUGAAGAGAUCCAUUGGAAAUAGAAAGGGAGCCACAUGGGUUUCUAAGUUAGGUUGCACUGUGUCUGCCCAUGGUGAGGUAUUUGACUAUGAGUUGCAGAUGACAUCUAUUCUCUUCUCUUCAGAAACUGCUGCGUCAUCAACCAUUAAGAAAGCAACCAGAAGUAGGGAUGUAAGUCAGUGAUAGGACACUUGAUUAGCAUGUGCCCAGCCCUGGGUUGAGUCCCCAGUUCAGGGGGCUUAUGGGGAAUGUGGAAGGAAGAGAGAAGGUAGUCCAGGACUCCUGUCUAGCUUCUGUCCUGUUAGAGCCAAAUCAUUGUUUCCUCUAACCUUGGAAUCAGAGCAAAUCUCUUCUUACUCCAUCUCCUCCUCUUAGAUGCAUCCUAGCUACUAGGAGGCAAGGAAAAGAACACUGACUGUCCCUAGGUAUGUGGCCUGGCGGUGGGGAUACAUACCAUUUAUCUACAAUGAAAUGUGUGCUACUUCAAGAUCUUCUUGCUUUCUUGGUGGAAAUAUUUUUUUCCUUUUUCUUGUUAAACAAAAUGCCUCCAGUCGGCCUCCCCUCUGCCCCUCCCUCCUCACACUCCCCUCCCAUGAGAGCACGGCUCCCCAUGGCCACACACUCCUGCAAAGCUUUUCUGCUGCUUGGCUUUUCUCUGAACAGAUCUGAAAUUGCUGCUCCUGUGGUUUCCUCAGAAUUCACUGUCACGGUUUAAAAAAUCAGAAUGCACUGUUGCAUUAAGCUUUUUUAAUAAGAGAAAAUUAUGGAAAGAAAAUAGGUAACACCAGCAAAUUAUAUAUUGACAAGUCUAAACUAUAUAUAUAUACAUAUCUAUAUAAAUAAUCAUCUAGUUCUUACUGUCAUCUUACUGAAAGGAACGAGACCUCUAAGGAUCAUUAGUUCUGAGAAGCUCUUGGAAAUCUUUAUGUCUAAGUGAUUGUAUUAGAUCAGCAAUAAUGACUAUGUAAUCUCAAAAAAUAAAUAAAAUAUUCUUAAAACUGG